RNAcentral lists this ribosomal RNA (460 nucleotides) under uncultured bacterium. RNAcentral describes it as "partial 16S ribosomal RNA". It matches the Rfam family "Bacterial small subunit ribosomal RNA", at positions 338 to 795 of the family's 1533-position model. The record is from RNAcentral.
CCUACGGGGGGCUGCAGUGAGGAAUAUUGGUCAAUGGCCGUAAGGCUGAACCAGCCAAGUAGCGUGAGGGAAGACUGCCCUAUGGGUUGUAAACCUCUUUUAUGCGGGGAUAAAGGUGUCCACGUGUGGCUGUUUGCAGGUACCGCAUGAAUAAGGACCGGCUAAUUCCGUGCCAGCAGCCGCGGUAAUACGGAAGGUCCGGGCGUUAUCCGGAUUUAUUGGGUUUAAAGGGAGCGUAGGCCGGUCUUUAAGCGUGCCGUGAAAUUUUGUGGCUCAACCAUGAGAGUGCGGCGCGAACUGGAGACCUUGAGUGCGCGGAAGGCAGGCGGAAUUCGUGGUGUAGCGGUGAAAUGCUUAGAUAUCACGAAGAACCCCGAUUGCGAAGGCAGCCUGCCGCAGCGUUACUGACGCUGAAGCUCGAAAGCGCGGGUAUCGAACAGGAUUAGAUACCCUAGUAGUC